Molecule: unclassified non-coding RNA, 328 nt
Filed under: plant metagenome
Description: partial contains 5.8S ribosomal RNA, internal transcribed spacer 2, and large subunit ribosomal RNA
Source: RNAcentral
GAGCGUGGUCGCGAAGAUCCUGGUAAACCUCGCCAUCGCGGCGCUGUUGUUCUGGGCCUUCGGGUUCGCGCUGGCCUUCGGCUCGGGCAACGCGCUCGUUGGCACCGAGGGCUGGUUCCUCGCUGUGCCGGCAGGACAGGUCAAUGACAUCUACGCCGGGCUAGCCUGGACGCAGGUCCCGCUCUCGGCCAAGUUCCUCUUCCAGGUCGCGUUCUGCGCCGUCUCGCUGGCCAUCGUGUGGGGCACGAUGCUGGAGCGGACCAAGUUCGCCGUCUACGUGAUCUUCGCCAUCGUCUUUGCGGGCUUGAUCUACCCGAUGGUGGGGCAC